Molecule: ribosomal RNA, 253 nt
Filed under: uncultured bacterium
Lineage: Bacteria
Description: partial 16S ribosomal RNA
Rfam family: Bacterial small subunit ribosomal RNA
Source: RNAcentral
UACGGAGGGUGCAAGCGUUAAUCGGAAUCACUGGGCGUAAAGCGCACGAAGGCGGUUUGUUAAGUCAGGUGUGAAAUCCCCGGGCUCAACCUGGGAACGGCAGCGGAUACUGGCAAGCUGGAGUCUCGUAGAGGGGGGUAGAAUUCCAGGUGUAGCGGUGAAAUGCGUAGAGAUCUGGAGGAACACCGGUGGCGAAGGCGGCCCCCUGGACGAAGACUGACGCUCAGGUGCGAAAGCGUGGGGAGCAAACAGG